This 310-nucleotide ribosomal RNA is filed under the name uncultured eukaryote. RNAcentral's name for it is "partial 18S ribosomal RNA". It matches the Rfam family "Eukaryotic small subunit ribosomal RNA", at positions 1470 to 1796 of the family's 1831-position model. The record is from RNAcentral.
CCCUUAGAUGUUCUGGGCUGCACGCGUGCUACACUGAUUAUUUCAACAAGUGUUUUAACUGGAGAGUUUGCGUAAUCCUGAAAUGCUAUCGUGAUGGGAGUAGAGUAUUGUAUUUGUUAAUCUUUAACGAGGAAUUCCUAGUAAGUGUAGGUUUAUAAGUUGUUCUGAUUACGUCCCUGCCCUUUGUACACACCGCCCGUCGCUCCCACCGAUUGAUUGAUCCGGUGAAUUACAUAGAAUUUUGCGUUUUACAUGACGGAAGAUGAAGUGUUUUAAACCUUAUCAUUUAGAGGAAGGAGAAGUCGUAACA